This is a long non-coding RNA of Gadus morhua (Atlantic cod), 344 nucleotides long. RefSeq lists it as uncharacterized. Lineage: Eukaryota; Metazoa; Chordata; Actinopteri; Gadiformes; Gadidae. The record is from RefSeq and is a predicted model, not a curated record. The transcript is spliced from 2 exons.
ACCAUGUUCUCUGUAGCUGUACUGCUGCUGCUCCUGGCUGCUGGCUCUGGUGUGAACAGUGAACAGCUUACUCAGCCAGAGUCUCUGACUGUCCGACCUGGUCAAUCUCUGACUAUCCGCUGUCAGGUCUCUUAUUCUGUUAGUAGCCGCUACAUAGCUUGGAUCAGACAACCUGAAGGACAUGGACUGGAAUGGAUUGGACAGAUCUAUACUGGGGCAAAAUACCAGAAAGACUCCCUAAGUAGUAAAUUCAGUCUUUCCCUUGACGAGGCCAGUAAAACAGGGACAUUGCUGGGACAAAACAUGCAGCCUGGAGACUCAGCUGUGUAUUACUGUGCCAGAGA